GACGAACGCUGGCGGCGUGCUUAACACAUGCAAGUCGAACGGAAAGGCCCUGCUUUUGUGGUGUGCUCGAGUGGCGAACGGGUGAGUAACACGUGAGUAACCUGCUCUUGACUUUGGGAUAACUUCAGGAAACUGGGGCUAAUACCGGAUAGGAGCUCCUGCUGCAUGGUGGGGGUUGGAAAGUUUCGGCGGUUGGGGAUGGACUCGCGGCUUAUCAGCUUGUUGGUUGGGUAGUGGCUUACCAAGGCUGUGACGGGUAGCCGGCCUGAGAGGGUGACCGGCCACAUUAGGACUGCGAUACGGACCAGACUCCUACGGGAGGCAACAGUGGGGAAUAUUGCACAAUGGGCGGAAGCCUGAUGCAGAGACGCCGCGUGCGGGAUGACGGCCUUCGGGUUGUAAACCGCUUUCGCCUGUGACGAAGCGUGAGUGACGGUAAUGAGUAAAGAAGCACCGGCUAACUACGUG
This 468-nucleotide ribosomal RNA is filed under the name uncultured bacterium. Its description in RNAcentral is "partial 16S ribosomal RNA". It matches the Rfam family "Bacterial small subunit ribosomal RNA", at positions 28 to 507 of the family's 1533-position model. The record is from RNAcentral.